Molecule: ribosomal RNA, 246 nt
Filed under: Triticum aestivum (bread wheat)
Lineage: Eukaryota; Viridiplantae; Streptophyta; Magnoliopsida; Poales; Poaceae
Description: partial small subunit ribosomal RNA
Source: RNAcentral
AUGGAAACCCUGAAUAGUGGAGGGCGGACAGCGAGUACAAUGGCGGCAGUGUUUGACGAUUGUUAUUUUUUUGCUUGUGAUUUUACCAUUACUAGAUUUGAGCAAUGUAAUAGGGAAGCCAAUAGGGUUACCCAUGAACUUGCUAAGUUAGCUAGAUUUUCUUCAACUUUUAAUUGGUUUGAGGAGCCCUUGAGUGAAAUUGUACCCCUGCUCAUAAGCGAUGUACUUGUUAUUGCAAAUAAAUAA